This 460-nucleotide ribosomal RNA is filed under the name uncultured Peptococcaceae bacterium. RNAcentral's name for it is "partial 16S ribosomal RNA". It matches the Rfam family "Bacterial small subunit ribosomal RNA", at positions 341 to 792 of the family's 1533-position model. Lineage: Bacteria; Bacillati; Bacillota; Clostridia; Eubacteriales; Peptococcaceae. The record is from RNAcentral.
ACGGGAGGCAGCAGUGGGGAAUCUUCCGCAAUGGGCGAAAGCCUGACGGAGCAAUGCCGCGUGAGCGAAGAAGGCCUUCGGGUUGUAAAGCUCUGUCCUUAUUGAAGAGAGGUAUUAGUGUGAAUAAUGCUAGUAUAGGACGGUAAAUAAGGAGGAAGCCCCGGCUAACUACGUGCCAGCAGCCGCGGUAAUACGUAGGGGGCAAGCGUUGUCCGGAAUCACUGGGCGUAAAGGGCGCGCAGGCGGUUUAGUAAGUCGGCGGUGAAAGCUGAGAGCUCAACCCUCAGCCUGCCGUCGAUACUGCUAAACUUGAGUGUGGAAGAGGAGAAUGGAAUGCCGAGUGUAGCGGUGAAAUGCGUAGAGAUUAGGAGGAACACCAGUGGCGAAGGCGGUUUUCUGGGCCAUAACUGACGCUGAGGCGCGAAAGCGUGGGGAGCAAACAGGAUUAGAUACCCUGGUA